AUUGGCCUUUUAGAUAUCAGUUAC
This 24-nucleotide non-coding RNA is filed under the name Rattus norvegicus (Norway rat). The record is from RNAcentral. Lineage: Eukaryota; Metazoa; Chordata; Mammalia; Rodentia; Muridae.